UACAGAGGGGGCAAGCGUUAUUCGGAAUUAUUGGGCGUAAAGGGCGCGUAGGCGGCCUGGCAAGUGGAAGGUGAAAUCCCUCGGCUUAACCGAGGAACUGCCCUCCAAACUGCUUGGCUUGAGUCCGGGAGAGGUGAGUGGAAUUCCCAGUGUAGCGGUGAAAUGCGUAGAUAUUGGGAGGAACACCAGUGGCGAAGGCGGCUCACUGGACCGGAACUGACGCUGAGGCGCGAAAGCAUGGGUAGCGAACAGG
Molecule: ribosomal RNA, 253 nt
Filed under: uncultured bacterium
Lineage: Bacteria
Description: partial 16S ribosomal RNA
Rfam family: Bacterial small subunit ribosomal RNA
Source: RNAcentral